UGGCAGCUGCCCUGUUUGCAAACACUCCCUCUUCCUCUCCGUGCCCUCCUUGGCCUCAGGCCCAGAGCGAGGCUACAACUCAGGGCUGGAUCGUGUGUCACACACUCCCUGGCCCCUGUACACCCCGCAGGGCCCCUGCUGAGGCCACCGAGGUGUUGCCCAGAGUGGGGCUGACAGCAGGUGUGCUCCUGUGGAGGGACCCCAAGGAGCCUUUGAAUCCAGGUUUAAGCCGAAGCCUUGGAGCCUCUGACCUGGACGAUCUGAGUGUGCUUCCUGGAGUAGGAAUCGUUGGAGAGAAGAAGGGAGUGAACGGAGAGACGGAGUCUCACUCUGCUGCCCAGGCUGGAGUGCAGUGGCGCGAUCUCGGCUCACUGAAACCUCCACCGCCUGGCUUCAAGCGAUUCUCCUGCCUCGGCCUCCCCAAGUGCUGGGAUUACAGGAGGCCUUUGACACAUGAACGCUGGAGAGAGUGGGUCUCCAAACGCUAUCAUCCAGGAAGACUGAAGAAAUGCUGCUUCAUAAAAAUCAAAACUCCGCAAGCCUCCCGUCCUAUCUCCUCUGUCUCUCUAGACUUACACUGCCAUCUCUCAUCUGUUCGUUCAUUCAUUUAACAAAUAAUGUAAAAAUUACCUACUGAGAUUCAAGCGUUGUCCUAGACACUAGGAAUUCCAGACAGAUCCAUAAUAGACAAGAUAUUGGAUCUGUCCGGAAUCCCUAGUGUGUAGGACAAAGAUGCACAUGCCCCAGUCAGAAACUGUGAAUAUGUUACUUUACAUGGCAAAAGGGACCUUGUGGAUGUAAUUAAGGGUCUAGACCUUGAAAUGGGAAAAUUAUCCUGGAUUAACCAAGUGGCCCCAAUCUAAGUCCUUAAAAUCAGAGAACUCGCUGGGCACCAUGGCUCAAGCCUGUAAUCCCAGCACUUUGGGCGACUGAGGUGGGUGGAUCACCUGAGGUCAGGAGUUCAAGACCAGCCUGGCCAACAUGGUGAAACCCCAUCUCUACUAAAAAUACAAAAAUUAGCCAGGUGUGGUGGUGGGUGCCUGUAAUACCAGCUACUCAGGAGGCUGAGGCAUGUGAAUCACUUGAACCUGGGUGGUGGAGGCUGCAGUGAGCCGAGAUUGCACCACUGCACUCCAGCCUGGGUAACAGAGCGAGACUCGGUCUCAAAAAUAAAUAAAUAAAUAAAUAAAUAAAUAAAUAAAUAAAUAAAAUCAGAGAACCUUUCAAGCCACAGUGAGAGAGAGAGAGAGAGAUACAAAGGCAGAGGAAAGAUCAGAGAGACGCAGUGUUGCUGGCUUUGAUGAUGGGGGUGGAGCCACAAGCCAAGGAAUGCAGGUGGCCUCUAGAAGCUGGAAAGGGCAGGGGAAUGGAUAUCCCCUAGAGCCUUCCAAAGGCUGACACCUUGAUCUUAGCCCACUAAUGGAGUCUGACUUCUGACCUACAAAAGUGCACGAUGAUAAGACUGCAUUGUUUUAAAGCACUAAAUGUGUGGUGAUGUGUUAUGGCAGCAGUGGAAGCAGAUACGGAUCUUUCAUAGAGCUGGAAGUCUAGCAGAGAUUGACAACACCACUGAAAAGUUCUGACAAUGCAAAUUUCCCUCAGCCUUUGCUCCUCUGAGAACUCCUUUUCUCCUUGUGUCUGCUGGUGAAAUAAUACCAUCCCGUCUGUGAGGUUUCCUUGAUUUCUCUGCUACAAAUAAUAGCUCCUUCCCUGGAAUCCUGCAGCUGUUGUUCAUUUUCAGCAAAUAACUCUAACAAGCAAUAUUUUGCGGUUUUAAACGAUUUCACACACAUUUUCCUCAUUGAGUUGGGGCCUGAGGUCACCCAACUAGUUCGAAUCUGGGUUGGAACCACGGUUGACACCUGGCAGGAGAGUCGGACUCCAGACUCCUGCUUCUGUUUCAGCGUACACGGUUCCCAAUCCGAGGAGCAAACGAGUGAAAUCAUUUAAAACAGAUUGUAAUCGUGGCUCCUAAGUUAAAUUUCUCCGAGCCUAGCUUUUUCCCCUCUGGAUCGUGGAUGUAACCGCAGUUCCUAUGGCCCACAGUUGGAGUCCUGCAGGGCCGGCAGAGUAGGCGAGCUCUCCUUGCGUCUUCCCAACAACCCUGGAGCCCCACUGUAUUCUUCCAGAGAAGGAAACGGGUGGCCGGGCACGGUGGCUCAUGCCUGUAAUCCUAGGACUUUGGGAGGCCGAGGUGGGUGUACUAGGAGGUCAGGAGUUCAAGACCAGCCUGGUCAAGAUGGUGAAACCCCAUCUCUACUAAAAAUACAAAAAUUAGCCGGGCGUGGUGGCAGGACCCUGUAUUCCCAGCUACUCAGGCUGAGGCAGGAGAGUCACUUGAACCCGGGAGGCAGAGGCGAGGCUCCGUCUCAAUAAAUGAAUGAAUGAAGAAAGAAAUAAAUGAAAGGAACGGGGACUGAAAAAGACCAAGUCGCUUUUCCAAGGUUACGUUGCUCCUGAAGCUAACGCAUGCCUGCUGGGUCUCCCUCCCCUCCCCGCACGCACCUCCGAGUCUUCCCAUUUUUUUUUCAAUCCAAUAGAACCUAAGUCUUCCCACU
Callithrix jacchus (white-tufted-ear marmoset) is the source of this 2558-nucleotide non-coding RNA. NCBI's taxonomy places the organism in Eukaryota, Metazoa, Chordata, Mammalia, Primates, Cebidae. The record is from RefSeq and is a predicted model, not a curated record.